This 241-nucleotide ribosomal RNA is filed under the name uncultured bacterium. RNAcentral's name for it is "partial 16S ribosomal RNA". It matches the Rfam family "Bacterial small subunit ribosomal RNA", at positions 536 to 776 of the family's 1533-position model. The record is from RNAcentral.
AAGCGUUAAUCGGAAUUACUGGGCGUAAAGCGUGCGCAGGCGGCUUUGCAAGACAGAUGUGAAAUCCCCGGGCUUAACCUGGGAACUGCAUUUGUGACUGCAAAGCUAGAGUACGGCAGAGGGGGAUGGAAUUCCGCGUGUAGCAGUGAAAUGCGUAGAUAUGCGGAGGAACACCGAUGGCGAAGGCAAUCCCCUGGGCCUGUACUGACGCUCAUGCACGAAAGCGUGGGGAGCAAACAGG